GAUGAACGCUGGCGGCGUGCCUAAUACAUGCAAGUCGAGCGAACAGAUGAGGAGCUUGCUCCUCUGACGUUAGCGGCGGACGGGUGAGUAACACGUGGAUAACCUACCUAUAAGACUGGGAUAACUUCGGGAAACCGGAGCUAAUACCGGAUAAUAUAUUGAACCGCAUGGUUCAAUAGUGAAAGACGGUUUUGCUGUCACUUAUAGAUGGAUCCGCGCCGCAUUAGCUAGUUGGUAAGGUAACGGCUUACCAAGGCAACGAUGCGUAGCCGACCUGAGAGGGUGAUCGGCCACACUGGAACUGAGACACGGUCCAGACUCCUACGGGAGGCAGCAGUAGGGAAUCUUCCACAAUGGGCGAAAGCCUGACGGAGCAACGCCGCGUGAGUGAUGAAGGUCUUCGGAUCGUAAAACUCUGUUAUUAGGGAAGAACAAAUGUGUAAGUAACUAUGCACGUCUUGACGGUACCUAAUCAGAAAGCCACGGCUAACUACGUG
Molecule: ribosomal RNA, 497 nt
Filed under: uncultured bacterium
Lineage: Bacteria
Description: partial 16S ribosomal RNA
Rfam family: Bacterial small subunit ribosomal RNA
Source: RNAcentral